GGUUACGUAGCUCAAUUGGAUAGAGCACCUGACUACGGAUCAGGAGGUUUGGGGUUCGAAUCCCUACGUGACCACAA
Molecule: transfer RNA, 77 nt
Filed under: Siphonobacter aquaeclarae
Lineage: Bacteria; Pseudomonadati; Bacteroidota; Cytophagia; Cytophagales; Cytophagaceae
Description: tRNA_Arg_ACG
Rfam family: tRNA
About the family: Transfer RNA (tRNA) molecules are approximately 80 nucleotides in length. Their secondary structure includes four short double-helical elements and three loops (D, anti-codon, and T loops).
Source: RNAcentral